Molecule: ribosomal RNA, 427 nt
Filed under: uncultured bacterium
Lineage: Bacteria
Description: bacterial SSU rRNA
Rfam family: Bacterial small subunit ribosomal RNA
Source: RNAcentral
UGGGGAAUAUUGCACAAUGGGCGCAAGCCUGAUGCAGCCAUGCCGCGUGUAUGAAGAAGGCCUUCGGGUUGUAAAGUACUUUCAGCGAGGAGGAAGGCAUUGUGGUUAAUAACCGCAGUGAUUGACGUUACUCGCAGAAGAAGCACCGGCUAACUCCGUGCCAGCAGCCGCGGUAAUACGGAGGGUGCAAGCGUUAAUCGGAAUUACUGGGCGUAAAGCGCACGCAGGCGGUCUGUCAAGUCGGAUGUGAAAUCCCCGGGCUCAACCUGGGAACUGCAUUCGAAGCUGGCAGGCUAGAGUCUUGUAGAGGGGGGUAGAAUUCCAGGUGUAGCGGUGAAAUGCGUAGAGAUCUGGAGGAAUACCGGUGGCGAAGGCGGCCCCCUGGACAAAGACUGACGCUCAGGUGCGAAAGCGUGGGGAGCAAACA